Molecule: long non-coding RNA, 1141 nt
Filed under: Oryza sativa Indica Group (long-grained rice)
Lineage: Eukaryota; Viridiplantae; Streptophyta; Magnoliopsida; Poales; Poaceae
Description: lncRNA OsZS97_11G001510
Source: RNAcentral
AUGCUUCCCAUCUACUGCAAUCUGGUAUUCUCAACUACUCAGAUCUCGGUGAUGAGAAAGGGGACGGCUCGUCGCAGCCCCCACGGUGGCAGGUGGCAGGGGAGAAAGGGGAGUUUUCGUCGGUGGAGCGACAUCGAUCUCGUCAGUAAAACAGACAUAUUAUUGUCUAAUGAUGUUCUGAGACAAGAAACUAACACUGCAGCUUUAAGUGUAGAGAAUGAGGCAAAGCAACUCUAUAUCACUAUAUGUGACUGCUCACAAGAUUGUAAAGAUGGACCCACAGGAGAAGAACUCACAGAGCACAUCAUUUGGUGCAAGGUUUGCAAGAAUAUAUUUAAGAUGACUGGGACACUACCACACUGGGUUUCCAAUGGUAUCAAAGUAAAGUGGUUACAAAUCAUUGUUUCAAGGAAAACGAUAACCGGUAAGACCCAUGUGAAGUACUGCAAGACAAUGGACAAUAUGGCUAUGUUGUUUCAUCGCUAUUCCGCGCACUUGCGCACGGAACAUUGUUUCGAGCACCGCAUGUCAAGCCCAGUGUCCGCAAAAACCGUGUUCGGUUGCCCACGUUCGUGCCAUUGUAGUGGGCUGGAUGAUGACAUGGUGCCGAAGCAAAAUAUGGUGUUCAAAGACUAUGACAGUGUAUAUGAUUUCUAUGAGAAAUAUGCUUACCAUGCUGGGUUUGACAUAAGGAAGAGUAGAACUAAGAAGACUAUAAGAGAAAUAUGUUGCUCCAGGGAGGGGCAUCAUAAAUUUUAUAAAGGCGAUGAAUCUGAACGUGAGCGAAACCAUAGGACAAAGAAAACUGGUUGCAAGGCAUACAUGAAGGUGAAAAAUGUGAUGGUUGAUGGUGAGGUGUCGUCUGUUGUGUACGAUGUUGUUGUGCUUGAGCAUAACCACCCGCUCACGCCCUCUCUAGCAGCGGUAAAGCACAUGAGAUCCCAUAAGCACACGGAUGACACGAUAAUGGAGUUUGUGAACACCAUGCAAGAAAACAGGGUGGCGCAGAACAGCCUAAUUGGAGUGCUUGCUGACAUGCAUGGUGGACAAGAGAACAUCCCAUUCACUUCACGCAAUCUUGAGAAUAGAUUUGUAUCCUGCAUAUGUCAUUUGUCGAUUGAAUUGCAUUAAACAUCCAUAC